AUACACUAUGGGGGUCUUCUUCGAGUGAACCAAAUAACAAAAUUAAUGCAAAUGUGAAACUAAACUAGGUCAGCUAGUCUUUCUCCUUUUGAAGGCAAGAUGCAUAAUUCCAUUGUACGAAUCAAGUUUGUCAACCAUUGACAUACAUUCAUUCAAUCUUUUCAAGAGGACUGGAAUGGUAGAGACGUUACUUGAAAUCUUUUGUUUGAGCAACUGUAUUUUCUUUGAAGUCUUAUGAUCUCCUUGAGCUAGCAAAACCCUAC
Molecule: long non-coding RNA, 263 nt
Filed under: Vitis vinifera (wine grape)
Lineage: Eukaryota; Viridiplantae; Streptophyta; Magnoliopsida; Vitales; Vitaceae
Description: long non-coding RNA (VVIN_LNC005089)
Source: RNAcentral